UACGGGGGGUGCGAGCGUUGUCCGGAAUCACUGGGCGUAAAGGGCGCGUAGGUGGCUCUGUAAGUUUGCGGUGAAAGCCCGGGGCUCAACCCCGGGUCUGCCGUGGAUACUGCAAGGCUUGAGUACUGUAGAGGCAGGUAGAAUAUCGGGUGUAGCGGUGGAAUGCGUAGAGAUCCGAAAGAAGACCGGUGGCGAAGGCGGCGUGCUGGACAGUAACUGACACUGAGGCGCGAAAGCGAGGGGAGCAAACAGG
RNAcentral lists this ribosomal RNA (253 nucleotides) under uncultured bacterium. RNAcentral's name for it is "partial 16S ribosomal RNA". It matches the Rfam family "Bacterial small subunit ribosomal RNA", at positions 524 to 776 of the family's 1533-position model. The record is from RNAcentral.